This 70-nucleotide long non-coding RNA is filed under the name Panthera pardus (leopard). Its description in RNAcentral is "Maternally expressed 8 exon 3 (ENSPPRG00000016569.1)". It matches the Rfam family "Maternally expressed 8 exon 3". Lineage: Eukaryota; Metazoa; Chordata; Mammalia; Carnivora; Felidae. The record is from RNAcentral.
UUGGCGUGUUUGAAGCGGUGUCCAAAAUCUUUCCUGCAUUUUCAGGGGGGGGGCGCUGGGCUUACAGAAG